Non-coding RNA from Angiostrongylus cantonensis (rat lungworm), 72 nucleotides. The record is from Rfam. NCBI's taxonomy places the organism in Eukaryota, Metazoa, Nematoda, Chromadorea, Rhabditida, Metastrongylidae.
AAAUCAUUGCCUCAGAAUAAGAGCGUCUGUCUUGUAAACAGAAGGACACUGGUUUGAUUCCAGCAUGAGGUA